RNAcentral lists this ribosomal RNA (275 nucleotides) under Ixodes ricinus (castor bean tick). Its description in RNAcentral is "partial large subunit ribosomal RNA". Lineage: Eukaryota; Metazoa; Arthropoda; Arachnida; Ixodida; Ixodidae. The record is from RNAcentral.
AAAAGCUUUCUUUAAUUGAAUAAUUGAAUUUAAUUUUUUAGUGCAAAAGCAAAAAUAAAAAUUAGGGACAAGAAGACCCUAUGAAUUUUUUAUUAAAUUUUAUAAAACUUUAUAUAAAAUUUAAUUUAAUUGGGGUGAUGGAAAAAGAAUAAAUAUCUUUUUUUUAAAAAAAAUUGGUUCCGUUUUUAGCGAUUAAAUGAAAAAAAUACUCUAGGGAUAACAGCGUAAUAAUUUUGGAUAGUUCAUAUAGAUAAAAUAGUUUGCGACCUCGAUGU